This 497-nucleotide ribosomal RNA is filed under the name uncultured bacterium. Its description in RNAcentral is "partial 16S ribosomal RNA". It matches the Rfam family "Bacterial small subunit ribosomal RNA", at positions 28 to 507 of the family's 1533-position model. The record is from RNAcentral.
GAUGAACGCUGGCGGCGUGCCUAAUACAUGCCAGUCGAGCGAACAGACGAGGAGCUUGCUCCUCUGACGUUAGCGGCGGACGGGUGAGUAACGCGUGGAUAACCUACCUAUAAGACUGGGAUAACUUCGGGAAACCGGAGCUAAUACCGGAUAAUAUAUUGAACCGCAUGGUUCAAUAGUGAAAGACGGUUUUGCUGUCACUUAUAGAUGGAUCCGCGCCGCAUUAGCUAGUUGGUAAGGUAACGGCUUACCAAGGCAACGAUGCGUAGCCGACCUGAGAGGGUGAUCGGCCACACUGGAACUGAGACACGGUCCAGACUCCUACGGGAGGCAGCAGUAGGGAAUCUUCCGCAAUGGGCGAAAGCCUGACGGAGCAACGCCGCGUGAAUGAUGAAGGUCUUCGGAUCGUAAAACUCUGUUAUUAGGGAAGAACAAAUGUGUAAGUAACUAUGCACGUCUUGACGGUACCUAAUCAGAAAGCCACGGCUAACUACGUG